GCGGACGUGGCGGAACUGGCAGACGCGCUGGACUUAGGAUCCAGUGCCGCAAGGCAUGGAGGUUCGAACCCUCUCGUCCGCA
RNAcentral lists this transfer RNA (82 nucleotides) under Selenomonas sputigena ATCC 35185. It matches the Rfam family "tRNA". From Rfam's summary of the family: Transfer RNA (tRNA) molecules are approximately 80 nucleotides in length. Their secondary structure includes four short double-helical elements and three loops (D, anti-codon, and T loops). Further hydrogen bonds mediate the characteristic L-shaped molecular structure. tRNAs have two regions of fundamental functional importance: the anti-codon, which is responsible for specific mRNA codon recognition, and the 3' end, to which the tRNAs corresponding amino acid is attached (by aminoacyl-tRNA synthetases). tRNAs cope with the degeneracy of the genetic code in two manners: having more than one tRNA (with a specific anti-codon) for a particular amino acid; and 'wobble' base-pairing, i.e. permitting non-standard base-pairing at the 3rd anti-codon position. The record is from Rfam by way of RNAcentral. Lineage: Bacteria; Bacillati; Bacillota; Negativicutes; Selenomonadales; Selenomonadaceae.